UUGGACAAUGGGCGCAAGCCUGAUCCAGCAAUGCCGCGUGAGUGAAGAAGGCCUUCGGGUUGUAAAGCUCUUUCAGUUGAGAAGAAAAGAUUGUAACUAAUAAUUGCGAUCCAUGACGGUAUCAACAGAAGAAGCACCGGCUAACUACGUGCCAGCAGCCGCGGUAAUAAGGGC
RNAcentral lists this ribosomal RNA (174 nucleotides) under uncultured bacterium. RNAcentral describes it as "partial 16S ribosomal RNA". It matches the Rfam family "Bacterial small subunit ribosomal RNA", at positions 364 to 533 of the family's 1533-position model. The record is from RNAcentral.